Saimiri boliviensis boliviensis (Bolivian squirrel monkey) is the source of this 116-nucleotide small nuclear RNA. Its record names the gene U5. It matches the Rfam family "U5 spliceosomal RNA". Rfam says of the family: U5 RNA is a component of both types of known spliceosome. NCBI's taxonomy places the organism in Eukaryota, Metazoa, Chordata, Mammalia, Primates, Cebidae. The record is from Ensembl.
CUGCUGGUUUCUCUUUAGUUUGUAUUAACUUUUUGUCUUUUACUGAAGAUUGCUGUGGGGAGGAACAAUCAGCUUUGAAAGCAACAGUUUGAAUCUGUGCUUUAGGCAAGACAGAU